UAGGGAAUCUUCCGCAAUGGACGCAAGUCUGACGGAGCAACGCCGCGUGAGUGAAGAAGGAUUUCGGUUCGUAAAACUCUGUUGUUAGAGAAGAACAGCGCAUAGAGUAACUGUUAUGCGUGUGACGGUAUCUAACCAGAAAGCCACGGCUAACUACGUGCCAGCAGCCGCGGUAAUACGUAGGUGGCAAGCGUUGUCCGGAUUUAUUGGGCGUAAAGCGAGCGCAGGCGGUUUUUUAAGUCUGAUGUGAAAGCCCACGGCUCAACCGUGGAGGGUCAUUGGAAACUGGAAAACUUGAGUGCAGAAGAGGAAAGUGGAAUUCCAUGUGUAGCGGUGAAAUGCGCAGAGAUAUGGAGGAACACCAGUGGCGAAGGCGACUUUCUGGUCUGUAACUGACGCUGAUGUGCGAAAGCGUGGGGAUCAAACAGG
RNAcentral lists this ribosomal RNA (429 nucleotides) under Bacteroidota bacterium. RNAcentral's name for it is "Bacteroidetes bacterium partial 16S ribosomal RNA". It matches the Rfam family "Bacterial small subunit ribosomal RNA", at positions 355 to 776 of the family's 1533-position model. The record is from RNAcentral. Lineage: Bacteria; Pseudomonadati; Bacteroidota.